AUACGUAGGUGGCAAGCGUUGUCCGGAUUUACUGGGCGUAAAGGGAGCGUAGGUGGAUAUUUAAGUGGGAUGUGAAAUACUCGGGCUUAACCUGGGUGCUGCAUUCCAAACUGGUUAUCUAGAGUGCAGGAGAGGAAAGUAGAAUUCCUGGUGUAGCGGUGAAAUGCGUAGAGAUCAGGAGGAAUACCAGUGGCGAAGGCGGCUUGCUGGACUGUAACUGACACUGAGGCGCGAAAGCGUGGGGAGCAAACAGGAUUAGAUGCCCUGGUAGUCCACGCCGUAAACGAUGAAUACUAGGUGUGGGGGUUGUCAUGACCUCUGUGCCGCCGCUAACGCAUUAAGUAUUCCGCCUGGGGAGUACGGUCGCAAGAUUGA
RNAcentral lists this ribosomal RNA (375 nucleotides) under uncultured bacterium. RNAcentral describes it as "bacterial SSU rRNA". It matches the Rfam family "Bacterial small subunit ribosomal RNA", at positions 523 to 897 of the family's 1533-position model. The record is from RNAcentral.